This is a non-coding RNA of Chiloscyllium plagiosum (whitespotted bambooshark), 2171 nucleotides long. NCBI's taxonomy places the organism in Eukaryota, Metazoa, Chordata, Chondrichthyes, Orectolobiformes, Hemiscylliidae. The record is from RefSeq and is a predicted model, not a curated record.
UGACUAUUGGGGAAGUCUCUGUCAUGUGAUGCAUUUUGGAAUGCAAAUGAAUUGUAGAAUUUUUCUAUGCUGGUGUGUAGGAAGAAGGACUGGGAAUGGUGUAGUGUGUUAUCUUAUUUCUCAGGCAAGAGGUGAGGUUAGAGUCCAAAGGAUUUGAUUGAAGGAUGUUCAGGAGUAUUGAUUGGAUUCUAACUGACUCUGUGGCUCCUUUCCAUGACGAUACCAGUUUCCGGAUGUUCGGGAUUACAUACAGAAGAAGACCUUCGUUCUUGACCCAGCCCUACAAGUCAGAUAUCGAACAAAGAGCGCUCUGAUGUGGGGAUGCUCUGUCAGAUAGCACCAUAUCUCAUCUGCAGAGCAGGAAUGCCCUGGGGGAUAUGGAGAGACUCCCAUGAGAUCUGGAAUCAGGAAUUGGGGAAGAAAUCUCAUCGGAAACAUGGGAAGAUAUAUGGGCGAAUAUAAAGAAACUUUCAAUAUGCGAUAAGGCACAAGCAAUGCAAUUGAAAAUCCUCCACAGGCACCAUAUGGUGCCAGAGAGGUUAGCAAAGGUUUUAAGAAAGGAUCUUCCCCGAAAUGUAAAAAUGGUCAUUGCUUUUUGUCCUGUUACAAGAUCCUUGGAUACUGGGGGGCCAUAGUGAAUGAGCUGGAGAGGAUCCUGGGAAUGGAAGUUGGGGAGGAUCUGGUGUCCCUCCAUUUUGGAGCUACCAAGUCUUCCCUCUUUGGGUGAGCAUGGGAAGAGGUUAUUCAACAUUCUUACACACUGAUAUCGGAAAACCCUCCAGGUCUUACGGAAUUGGCACAGACUUGUGAUGGAGCACAUCCCUCAGGACUACCUGACAAGUAUGGUGUGCCACGGAAUGGAGCGAUUUGAAAAGACAUGGCGGCCCUUUCUAAAUUACAUAAACUUGGAUCUGUUGGCUGUAUUGAUUAGGGCCUUUAUAUUAUCCACAAGGGCCAUAUACAGUGGUCCGAGGAGUGAAGCUUAGUAAAUAUGGGUAUAAUAACUGUUGCUCCUGUGGAUGGGAACCUUGAUGGAGGUGCAGCGAGUGAGUAAUGCAAUAUAGUGAAUUUGAUUUUAGUGGAUUAUAAUUUCAUUUAAUGUUUUUAUUUAAUUUCUGCUAAUUUGGUUUAACUUAAGUAAAUAUGAGAUGACUGUAUCUUGAAGAAUAGGCAGUUUAUUGUCAAUGUUACUGUAAUAUAUUCUACUUUUUUUACUUUUAUAAUGUUUAGUUUGUUUCUUUCUUUGGAAAAGUGAAAUUUUUCCAAUAAAUAUAUACAUUCAAAAAAAUCAGCCCUUCACCUGAAAUGGAGCACUGCAAGAAUUAAGUUGCCAUGAUUCUGAACAUGUAGAAAGCCUUUUACAGCCUUGCUGAGGUUGUUACUGUAACCCACCCAUCCUGAACACACUGACUCUGACUCUGACCUCCAGCCUUCCAUUGCCUCAUUAGAGUCAUUGUCAUAGAAACAGACCCUUUAGUCCAACUUGUCCAUGCCGACCAGAUAUUCCAAUCUAGUCCUACCUGGCAGCACCUGACCCAUGUCCCUCUGUGGUAACUGGCUCCAGUCCUGGAUUAGCAAUACACUCUAUACUUUUUCCUUGAUCUGUAAACUCUUUUGAAUGCCCACUUCUUACCCAGGGAUGGCUUAUAUUUCAAAAAUUGCUGAAAUUCCACAAAAUUGUCAGUGUCCUAUUUAUCUCAAUUCACAAAAUAUUCCAGAUUGUCUCUACUUAUGUACCAUAGAAGGGACAUUGCUGAUCAAUAUGCAAUUGGCUAAAAAAGUAACUAUGUUUGAUGUCAUAACCAAUCUUAAUUGUACAUUAAACUACAACUAGUUCAAGGAUUGGGAGAAGGUAAAGGAGUCAGGAACAGUCAUGGUGUGAGGACCUGUUAACCCCUCAUCUCUAUUGUUACCCAGAACCUAGAAUCCCCUAGUAACAGCAGGAGGUCUGUUUGCCCAUAUUUGAACUGAUGUCAUGAGACUUCAUGGGAUCCAAAAUCAAUGUUAAUUUGUUGUUGAUCAAUGAACUCUCAUUUCUAGCUCCCUAGGCUCAAGAUCUGUCCCAAUACAUACUUGGGUGAUAACAUAAUUGUGAAUAAGCACUCUUUGUCCCUAUAAACAUCUUAAUUUUACCUCUAGGCUGUUGAAGCUGUCUUAAAUUUUGCAAGCCA